CAUAUUCGACGAUUCAACAUAUCUCUCUUCCUCUAAACUUUCCACCUCCCCUAUAUCUUCAUGUCCGUCUCUUCCUUACCUUAUUCAACGUUUCUGCAACCUAUACAAUGAAUCUUCUGUUUACAUUAACUCCACCAAACUCUAUGUCUCCCUCCUUUUACAUUCAAAGCUUCAUGCGUAUCUAAACCGGAUGCACCUCAAACCCUAUAAAUAGGAGAGCGUUGAGAGUGGAAUCAAGCAGCACCAACACGAUCUCUCAGUUUGUUUUCUCUCCAAACCCUACAAUCUUCCUAGGAAAAUGAUUUCAUGUUGCCCAAUCAAAGAGAAGAACGGAGAAUCAAGAAAAACAGAGAAAACAAAAAAAUUCACUCCAAAUCAUCCUAGGUUCACCUUCUCAACAAUCAGUGAUGACAUGUAAUUUGGCACUCAGGCAGAGAGUGGCAGCAGCAACCCUGUUCGAUUUCAGCCAGAUAUUUAGGGAAGAUGUAGCAAUAUAAAUGUUUUGAGUAAUCAUCUGCUUCAAAACCCAAAUUUAUCAGAUGCCAACAGAGAGGUGAGAAUUUGAUUUUGCUGUAUUUGUUGUCCCUAUCCCAACUGAGUUUUUCAGCUUGCUACCUCUUUAGUCUUUAACACAACUACUACCAAUUUCCAAACUAACCACUUUACAACUACUCAGGGACACGAUUGUGUGUCUAAGUGUUUUUGAGGCCUUGCGGACUCCUACACAAGAAAUUGGAAGCAACUCGGUUUCUCUAUCCGAGUCUUCGGGUAAGGAUACGGUUGUAGCGAAGGAAAGCAAAUUUUCUGGAGCAAGAAGAGGCUCUAACGCUGACGUGGAAGAAAAAUAAGAUUUGUUCUGUUCAGACCAUCUGGCAAGUAAAGUAAAGUAAAGUAAAGUAAAAUAGAGCUUGAAUGUAUAACAAACAGAGUUUUGAGGGUUGAUUUUGUUGUGUGUUUAUUUUGGAAAAGCAGGUGGUUGUUCUUAGAGUAUCUCUUCACUGUCACUGUAGAGGCAAAGUGAAGAGACAUCUAUCUAGGAUGCAAUGUCAAUCUCUUCUUAUCAUUUUUCCUUUCACCAAGGAUUUUCCUUCUCAUCCAUUUACGAUA
Brassica oleracea var. oleracea is the source of this 1107-nucleotide long non-coding RNA. RefSeq lists it as uncharacterized. The transcript has 3 exons. NCBI's taxonomy places the organism in Eukaryota, Viridiplantae, Streptophyta, Magnoliopsida, Brassicales, Brassicaceae. The record is from RefSeq and is a predicted model, not a curated record.